Molecule: long non-coding RNA, 533 nt
Organism: Leopardus geoffroyi (Geoffroy's cat)
Lineage: Eukaryota; Metazoa; Chordata; Mammalia; Carnivora; Felidae
Exons: 3
Source: RefSeq, a predicted model, not a curated record
GGGGCGAGCGCCUCCCUGAGCUGGGCUUCCCUGAUUCCUUGCUGAUGACAGAGCCAUUCUCACUGGGCGACCUGCUGGAAAUAACCAUAGCAACAGGGAGAUGGGAAAGGUAUGAAUGAACACAUUUCUGGGGAGAAACUCCAACUCUGCUUUACUCUUUCAUCCACUUAUGAACUUAUGUUUACAUGGAGCCAUCAACCCAAACUUCUGGUCAAAAGCAUAAGACCCAUUCUGAGAGGUUAUGCAGGCCACAACCAGCAGGAGUGAGGAGACUGAUGUGGCAAGACGGAAAAGCCAGAAAAAUAAAUGCAACGUGGGUUUGGUUUUGGUUUCAGCAUCUUAAUAUCUUCCCAAAUGAAUUGGACUCCCGUGGUCAGCUGAACUGGAACAGAGGUGAGGUUUCUUGCAUAGCUUUGGCAAUGAUACAGCCCUUAGUAAACUUCUGUUUUUAUGGUAACAUUAUGAAGCAAAUGUAGAAAUCAUUCAGCUGCAUAGACACUGUUUUCUUUAUCUAUAUUUGUUUCAUAAGUCCA